UGCCUCGAGCUAGGGAAGGCAAUUUCUGUCCAUACCCAAUUGCCCACCCAGCUCGCCCAUCAGUUGGCCCGCCCAAAACCCACCCAUUUGGUUAAAUAGUUCUAAAUGAGCGGGUAUGAAUUUAAAAGAGAGUAAACAGGCUCUUAAUGGGCGGGCAUCGCGCCCGCCUAACCCGCCCAGGUGAAAACCCUCGUUUUCCCGUUCUCGUCUCUCGUUCUCUGGUUCUUCGUUCCUCGUUCUCUCGCAAGCUCACAGUCUUUCAUCGACUCUCCCUUUCUCGUGCCUCUUCGUCUUGUGGUUUCGUCUCCUCAACAAGCUCGAAUCUUUCACUGAGAAUCCAUGGAUGAGGGAGAUUAAGAUAUUUUGAUUCCCCUUUGCCAGAUAUUUUCGAGGAGGCUGCUGCUUCCUCUUCUUGCUUCUUCUAGGGUUUCUUCAAAGGACAAGGUAAGUUUGGGACACUAGAAGCUCUUGGGAUUUCUUGUAUGCUUUUGACUACUGCAGGUGGCAUUGCCUGGCAUGCUGUCAAUGUUCUACAGGGAAUUAUCGACUUAGAGCACCCUGUCCUGGCCUUGAGCAUGACAACUGUCUCCAUCGCUGUUAAGGAAGGGUGACUUUGUGGAAGCUGCUGAGCAGUAUAUCGCAAUCUAUUAGUACUGAUUAUACUACUUGUUUUAAUUUUUUUUAGACAUGACUUGCAAAUGUAUCACAAUCUAUUAGUGCUAUGAUAACAUCUUUUGUAUUCGAAAGCAAAGUUAGUUGAAGCUGUUUAUGAACUUAAAUCAAGCAACAAUAAUGCAAAGUUUGUGUCAAUGUGAUUUGUAUCAUAUUUUCAUGUGA
Asparagus officinalis (garden asparagus) is the source of this 837-nucleotide long non-coding RNA. RefSeq lists it as uncharacterized. The record is from RefSeq and is a predicted model, not a curated record. NCBI's taxonomy places the organism in Eukaryota, Viridiplantae, Streptophyta, Magnoliopsida, Asparagales, Asparagaceae. The transcript is spliced from 5 exons.